Scophthalmus maximus (turbot) is the source of this 973-nucleotide long non-coding RNA. RefSeq lists it as uncharacterized. The record is from RefSeq and is a predicted model, not a curated record. The transcript has 5 exons. Lineage: Eukaryota; Metazoa; Chordata; Actinopteri; Pleuronectiformes; Scophthalmidae.
UGCAUGUGAAGCCUCUGUGGUUACGCACAUCCUGUACACGUGAGCCUCAUUCAUUAGCAUGUUCCAAAAGAGUGAAAACCAUCUCCAAGGUGCUCAUCUCUCACCUCGUGGCUGAAGGGAUGUUUCCUGUCAUUGCCAUUGCCGCUAGAUGCACAAACGAAUGAACACCGCCGAUCUCCAGCAGGUAGUGAUUUGACAGAUGGGCAGACCUUUUGUGGUUGAGUUGCAAUAAGACAGCAGCAGUGAUGAUUCAGCUGCCAAAGGACAUCAUCCAUCUCCAACCUCCGUCAGGACCGAGCGUCUCCUGAGAGAUAGAGAGAGCGAGAAAGUUAGUCAUGGAUCAGAAGACAAAUGAGAGUCCCAACUCCACCUCCCCUCAGAAGCACAUGAAGAACAGGUCCAAAUCAACAGAGGAGAUGCAACACUCGAAGAAGGCCUUUUCCUCACAAAAAUCCCUCCCAGGCCGACCAGAGCUGGACAGAGUGAAGGAGUGUCCUGAUGGCUCUGACACGCCCCCGUCCUCCACUGAAGAAGAGAAGUGAUAAAUAAAAGGAUCACUGGGACAAUAGAGCUGCCAUCAAGCAACAACAUCAUCAUACAACAACAUGACACGUACAUUAAAAUGUACAUAUGCAAACAAAGAAACAUAGAAAAUAUUGAGGAUAACAGUGAACUAAAUUAGAAAAUAUACAAGUGGCGAACAGAUGAUUGGUUGAAAGAAACUGUUGAAAAUAAUGGUUACUUGAACGCACGCAUGCACACACACACACACGCACGCACGCACGCACGCACGCACACACCCACACACACACCCACACACACACACACACACACACACAAUCUGAGACAAUCGCAUGCAAACAAAAGGACACCCAUGAUGAUGCUGUUUCAUUGUACUGUACUCUGAGAGUCAUAAACAUACCAGACUGAACAAGUAUUGACAAUAAAGUGAUUUCUCAUCUAUUCUCAUUCA